CCGCCCGUCACACCAUGGGAGUGGAUUGCACCAGAAGUGGCUGUGCUAACCCGCAAGGGAGGCAGGCCCCCAAGGUGCGGUUCAUGACUGGGGUG
RNAcentral lists this ribosomal RNA (95 nucleotides) under uncultured bacterium. RNAcentral's name for it is "partial 16S ribosomal RNA". It matches the Rfam family "Bacterial small subunit ribosomal RNA", at positions 1390 to 1482 of the family's 1533-position model. The record is from RNAcentral.